RNAcentral lists this ribosomal RNA (481 nucleotides) under uncultured bacterium. RNAcentral's name for it is "bacterial SSU rRNA". It matches the Rfam family "Bacterial small subunit ribosomal RNA", at positions 20 to 518 of the family's 1533-position model. The record is from RNAcentral.
UGGCUCAGGACGAACGCUGGCGGCGUGCUUAACACAUGCAAGUCGAGCGAUGAAGCUCUUCGGAAGUGGAUUAGCGGCGGACGGGUGAGUAACACGUGGGUAACCUGCCUCAUAGAGGGGAAUAGCCUUUCGAAAGGAAGAUUAAUACCGCAUAAGAUUGUAAUGUCGCAUGACAUAGCAAUUAAAGGAGUAAUCUGCUAUGAGAUGGACCCGCGUCGCAUUAGCUAGUUGGUGAGGUAACGGCUCACCAAGGCGACGAUGCGUAGCCGACCUGAGAGGGUGAUCGGCCACAUUGGGACUGAGACACGGCCCAGACUCCUACGGGAGGCAGCAGUGGGGAAUAUUGCACAAUGGGGGAAACCCUGAUGCAAGCAACGCCGCGUGAGUGAUGACGGUCUUCGGAUUGUAAAGCUCUGUCUUUAGGGACGAUAAUGACGGUACCUAAGGAGGAAGCCACGGCUAACUACGUGCCAGCAGCCGC